CUCAAAGCGGUUAAGUCGGGCGCGAAAAAGGAUACACGCAUAGCGGAGAAUGUGCGCGGUUGCGGCAACGUGAAAUAAGGAAGAAAAAACUUUUGUAACCUCUACAUCAGAAAAUGCAUAUAUUGCCGCGAAGAAGUAAACUUAGCCAAGGACAUUUACGUAAAUUGCAGUAAAAGGAUUAACCAAGUUGCUAAAGUGACAAUUUUAGUAUAGCGAAUUUCUCAACGAGGGCUGUCAACAACACAAAGCGCAGAACUCAUCGUUGCCUAGCCAAUCGACAACAGCAAAGCAUCUAA
Anastrepha obliqua is the source of this 296-nucleotide long non-coding RNA. RefSeq lists it as uncharacterized. NCBI's taxonomy places the organism in Eukaryota, Metazoa, Arthropoda, Insecta, Diptera, Tephritidae. The transcript is spliced from 3 exons. The record is from RefSeq and is a predicted model, not a curated record.